AACCAGCACCUCAAGUGGUCAGGAUGAUUAUUGGGCCUAAAGCAUCCGUAGCUCGUUUUGUAAGUUUUCGGUUAAAUCCAUACGCUUAACGUAUGGGCUGCCGGGAAUACUACAAGGCUAGGAGGCGGGAGAGGCAAGCGGUACUCAAUGGGUAGGGGUAAAAUCCGCUGAUCCAUUGAAGACCACCAGUGGCGAAGGCGGCUUGCCAGAACGCGCUCGACGGUGAGGGAUGAAAGCUGGGGGAGCAAACCGGAUUAGAUACCCCUGUAGU
Molecule: ribosomal RNA, 271 nt
Filed under: uncultured bacterium
Lineage: Bacteria
Description: partial 16S ribosomal RNA
Rfam family: Archaeal small subunit ribosomal RNA
Source: RNAcentral